AUGAAUUUCAAAUUUUAUCCUGUAAGGGAAAAGGAAUGCCUUAAAGUCUCAGUAUGGAUUCAGAAGGCACUGGCCAGUCAUUGUCUCACCUGGUGUGGAUCUGUGGGAGUUUUGGUAUGGGCAAUCUUCCUCAGAGCAGCUCUGGUGACACCAGGCUUCAACACUGACCACUCCCACCUUAGGAGUGUUCCCAUCAGGCUGUUCCUGCCUCUGCCUGACGCAUCAGCUACUCUGGUGUUUCCCAAUUAUGACUAGAACUUGUCUAUUGAAUCUUGAUGGCAUCUUUCAGAUUUCUCUAAAUUAGCUCCUGAAAGAAGCUGCUCCUGCAACAAAACAAUGGCAAAGUGAUUUUGGAGUAAUUUUCAGAUUGUGGUUUAUAACUGCAUUGCACCUCAGAAAUAGCUUGUCCCAGUGGGCAUGGCUUUUUCUGCUAUCCCUAUCUCUCAUAUAUCAAAUUAUGGAUUGUUAUACAAAAGUUGUAUCUCUGUCUUAUUUAUUGAAGUGUUGGUUCACUAAAUAAAGGAUCUCAACAGUGAUUUGAGCUGGCUGAA
This 551-nucleotide long non-coding RNA is filed under the name Parus major (Great Tit). Its description in RNAcentral is "lncRNA (ENSPMJG00000019342.1)". Lineage: Eukaryota; Metazoa; Chordata; Aves; Passeriformes; Paridae. The record is from RNAcentral.